RNAcentral lists this ribosomal RNA (252 nucleotides) under uncultured bacterium. Its description in RNAcentral is "partial 16S ribosomal RNA". It matches the Rfam family "Bacterial small subunit ribosomal RNA", at positions 524 to 776 of the family's 1533-position model. The record is from RNAcentral.
UACGUAGGUCCCGAGCGUUGUCCGGAUUUAUUGGGCGUAAAGCGAGCGCAGGUGGUUUAUUAAGUCUGGUGUAAAAGGCAGUGGCUCAACCAUUGUAUGCAUUGGAAACUGGUAGACUUGAGUGCAGGAGAGGAGAGUGGAAUUCCAUGUGUAGCGGUGAAAUGCGUAGAUAUACGGAGGAACACCGGUGGCGAAAGCGGCUCUCUGGCCUGUAACUGACACUGAGGCUCGAAAGCGUGGGGAGCAAACAGG